RNAcentral lists this ribosomal RNA (229 nucleotides) under uncultured bacterium. RNAcentral describes it as "partial 16S ribosomal RNA". It matches the Rfam family "Bacterial small subunit ribosomal RNA", at positions 568 to 796 of the family's 1533-position model. The record is from RNAcentral.
UGCGUAGGCGGAAUAAUAAGUCAGAGGCGAAAGCCCACCGCUUAACGGUGGAACUGCCUUUGAUACUGUCAGACUUGAAUAAGGUUGAGGUCGGCGGAAUGUGUCAUGUAGCGGUGAAAUGCAUAGAUAUGACAUAGAACACCAAUUGCGAAGGCAGCUGGCUAGACCUUUAUUGACACUGAGGCACGAAAGCGUGGGGAGCGAACAGGAUUAGAUACCCUGGUAGUCC